CACAAAUGAGAGCAUUGGUGGUGGUGAAAAUCACAGACCAGACAAAUGACCUGAGCGCGUGUGGGGUUAGAAGCAAGGUCCCAGCCCUGGGUUCUAGGGCAUGUCAAGGUCUAGAAAAGGAGGGGGAAUUCAAAACAGAGAGGAAGAUGUAACCAGUGAGGUGGAAGGAAAAACAGAGUCAGCAGUUAUUCUGCAAACGAAGAAGCAAGGAGGUGCUCAAGACAGAGGGAACCAUCAACCACGUCAGCGGCUGUGGGAACUUUAGCAAGUGCUUUGCUGUGCCUGCGAUUCCCCUUACGUGCUACGAUAUGAGCGCUAUGAAAACUAAUGAGGUUUGAAAUUCAUCUUUUCAAAAUUUGGAAGAUCCUGUUCCCCAAAGAAUGUCUCAGAGAUUAUAACCAGGGUUCUGGGAUCUGCCUCUAAGUUCUUUCUAGACUCUUUAAGACCUUGUCUAAACUGGGGAGGGGGCAACUGGCAUAGAAGAGGCAGCUUCAUGGGAGCAGUCAGCGGUGAUUGCCUGAGGGAGGCAUUGAGCUGGCAGGAUUCUUAAACCUUCUCCAAGUCAUGCCAUUCGCCCUGGGCCAUGAUCUGUCACUGGCUCCCAUGAAAAGAGUGGUUGUGUGGGAACUUAGUGUUUCCAAUCUAGAGCUAGGUGGUUUUUGUCUUUGAGUUUGUUUGUUUGUUUGUUUUCUUUUACUAUUUCUUUACCCCUCUAAGCCUUAUUUUCCUUCAGUGCAUCUUUUGUUUUUACUCUUUUUCAUUUUGGAGAUCUUUCGUAUAAAGGGAUAAAAUUGAAGAAAAAUUGGAAGUAAUUAGUUCUGUUGUUUAUUAGUUGUUGUUAUGUUGGACAAGUUGCUUAACCCUACUUUAUAGUGUUCAACUUAAUUUUUUCUUAGGCUAAUUUUCUGUAGUUGUGACUAUACCAUCUCAGUCUUCUUAAGUUCUCUUUCUGUCCAUGGAUUCAAUCAAAGGCACUUAUUACCCUUUUAAAAACAUUUUUAUUGCCAUAGUUUAUUUUUCCUCAGUUUUAUUGAGAUAUAAUUGACAUAUAACAUUGUGUUAGUCCAAGAUGUAAAACAUAAUGAUUGAUAUAUGCAUAUAUUGCAAAAUGACUGCCACAC
Molecule: non-coding RNA, 1121 nt
Organism: Odocoileus virginianus texanus
Lineage: Eukaryota; Metazoa; Chordata; Mammalia; Artiodactyla; Cervidae
Source: RefSeq, a predicted model, not a curated record